Molecule: non-coding RNA, 75 nt
Organism: Podarcis lilfordi (Lilford's wall lizard)
Lineage: Eukaryota; Metazoa; Chordata; Lepidosauria; Squamata; Lacertidae
Source: the annotation of a GenBank genome assembly
GCUUGGCUUAGUGGUUAGAGUGUUGGACUAGGGCUUGGGAGACCAUGGUUCAAAUCCCUGCUCAUCCAUGGAACA